CUACGUAGGGGGCGAGCGUUAUCCGGAAUUACUGGGUGUAAAGGGUGUGCAGGCGGCAUUGCAAGUUUGAUGUGAAACCCCGGGGCUUAACUCCGGGCAUGCAUCGAAAACUACAGAGCUAGAGUACAGGAGAGGAAAGCGGAAUUCCUAGUGUAACGGUGAAAUGUGUAGAUAUUAGGAAGAACACCAGUGGCGAAGGCGGCUUUCUGGACUGAAACUGACGCUGAGACACGAAAGCGUGGGGAGCAAACAGGAUUAGAUACCCUGGUAGUCCACGCUGUAAACGAUGAAUACUAGGUGUCGGGGCCGUAGGCCUCGGUGCCGCAGUUAACGCAAUAAGUAUUCCACCUGGGGAGUACGGCCGCAAGGCUGAAACUCAAAUGAAUUGACGGGG
Molecule: ribosomal RNA, 394 nt
Filed under: uncultured bacterium
Lineage: Bacteria
Description: partial 16S ribosomal RNA
Rfam family: Bacterial small subunit ribosomal RNA
Source: RNAcentral